UCCUACUACUCUACCUGGCAACUGGAUUUAUAAUAACAGCUGUCAGGUAAUGGUCCUAGGAUAGUUGAUGUUACAGUUCACAGGGAUUAAAGUUCUCUGUCGCAACGAUAAUAUCACGGAGCGUCAAACUGAAUAAACUGAAAACUGUCCUGAAAGUUCAGCACUGCUCUGGAGAAACCGAAUACCGUAAUCCCUCUAAUAAGAUAGCGCUGGUGCAGAAAACUGUGCGUUUAUUCAUUACAACCAACAGAUAUUAAUUUCUAAUGGAGGAAGUUUGCAGCCGGGGUGGAGAACGGCUAUUUGAAUGCUCCUGCACGGCACAGAGCUCCCUCAACUUGAAUAACAAACUUAGGGGGAUGCGGAGUGAUCCCUCAGCUGUGUUGUUAUUGCCAAAGUAACGUAUAGUAAUUGUGCCAUAGUGAGUAAAGACCGGCUGUUGAAUGAAGACCUGCAGCACUCAGUCGUAAUAAUUUCUUACAAAUUAUUACUUUUACUAAAAAUUCCUACAGGUACCAAGUUUACUAUUUAUGUUAAUUUUACAGUUAAUUGUUCUGCACUGUUAUUGUUUUUCCUUAAAGAAUGAUAUUUUCAAAAGAAGCUACUUUCCCCCCUUUUUUGUAUCAGUAUGUGGGUCAGUGUCCAUACACCACACAUAUUGUAAGGAUAUGAAUGGUGGUGAUCAUCAUAUGUGUUUAUGAUUAAAUUCUUUACCACAGUGCACAAUAGGUUUCAAGAGCAUAAAGUCCUUCAUAGAUCUAGCCUCCUAAAUUGCUGUCAAAGUUCACCAGGUUGAUGGAUUUAACUUUGAAAUGUACAAAAUAAUUUACCGGGGUAGCAUGCCCAGAGGGGUUAGAAAUCACAGAGGCUGGGCGAUAUGGACCAAAUAUAUAUCUUAAUAUUUCUUCUGGUAAAGAAAUAAUAAAAACAAUGUCAGUUCCAACUCAAAUCAACAUGUGUCCAAAUGUCACAUAAUAACCAGCUGCACAAUAUCAACAUGUACAUGAAAUUGACACAAAAAUAAACUAAUGGCUUGUUAAAUAGCAAUAAAUAAUAAUAUUAAUUUAAAUUAAAUUAAAAAUGCUCCUUUCUUGCAUAACAGAAUACACAGAGCUGUGCAAACAAGGCACAACGAGGUUGAAUGAACACUUCUUGUACUGUACUUCAUGGCGCUGUUGAAAUGGUGGGAGAGAUUUGUCACCUUUUAGUUGCAACCUGUUUGCGUCAUUCUCUACACAUCUGAAACUUUGAAACCAAUCCAUCUCCAAAUGAUCGAUCCAGUAUUUUUAAUUUUACUCACAAACUCCUCUUCGACUGCUUGCCUCUCGUUUGUGUCUGUCUCCGUGUUGGUGCUGCUGAAGUUGUGUGUGAGGGAGAGACAAGGAGAGGAGAAAUAGGCAAACUGGCGGCUCCGUGAAAAUAACUUAUAACGUUAAUUUAACGCGACAUAAAUCUCGGUAACACGAUAUUGGCUAAUCCUAUAUCGUGUUUGAAAAUAUAUUGUCAGUCAGUGUCUUGACAUGCGGUUGCAGUUCGUGCCACAGAUAAGAGGAUAGCCUGCGAUGAAGAGUUCUCUGACUCUAAGGAUGAGGGCGAGGGCGGCAGGAGGAACGUGUUCAGUCACAAGAAGGGAGUGUAAAAGGCCCAGAGUCGAUGAAGACAAGAAUGAACCAGAGGAGGAGAAAACUGAGGUUAAAGAGGAAGAGAAAAACCAAGGACAGCAGUGCUGAGACGACUGUCUGAAAAAGGCUCCCCUCUCCAUAAGGCCCAGUCUACUCUGCUCGGCCAGUUGGAGCACUCUGUUGUGAUUGGUCAAUCUCUUCCAGCACCCAGUGUGAAAGGUGAGCAGACAAGCAGUGCCUGAUGAACAACCCUGCAGUGCUGUGCAUCCUCCAGGAUCCAACCCUGCGAUGAAUCGGAAAAAUUAUAUUUAUUAUGACUCUCCUUUGUCUUUUUGUAAAUCUCAGUCAGCCUCUCUGUGUGUAUUGGACGUGCCAGCGUCCUUGGAUACCUGUUGAAGGCGUUUGAUUUCAAUGUGCUUGAUCUUCUGAAGGAAACUGGCUUGU
Long non-coding RNA from Scophthalmus maximus (turbot), 2063 nucleotides. RefSeq lists it as uncharacterized. The transcript is spliced from 4 exons. The record is from RefSeq and is a predicted model, not a curated record. Lineage: Eukaryota; Metazoa; Chordata; Actinopteri; Pleuronectiformes; Scophthalmidae.